Molecule: long non-coding RNA, 709 nt
Organism: Mastomys coucha (southern multimammate mouse)
Lineage: Eukaryota; Metazoa; Chordata; Mammalia; Rodentia; Muridae
Exons: 4
Source: RefSeq, a predicted model, not a curated record
GUUGACAGCGGAAGUAGGCGCCAUCUUGCCAUGGUGAAUGCCUCUCCAGCUUCACCGCUCCCCACAAGAUACGAUGGCAGCAGUAGAGGCAUUGAAGAAGAACAAGCUAUAAGCUACAGUAAUGGAUGUUCUGUCACCUCUCAAUCUGGCUGAAUGAAUGCUGAAAGGCAGUUGAUCCUUAAGUUUGUGGUUAGGAAGAUGCGAAGAUCAGCGAGGACCCAUGCACAUCAUAGAGCUGUAAAUGAGGAUGCUUUGAAAAGUGUGACUCAUUAUUAAUUCAGUCAGUCUUAAAGCAGAUGAAGAAUCAGGCAUGUUGUGAAAUGGAAAUUCUUUUGGACUGCUCCCUUUCCUAAGAAAUAAUGGCUGAUGGAUGGGCAUCAAGAAAAUAAGCAUCAACACUCUCCCCAGGAAGCCUUUAUAGUAAGCUGUGCCUGCAUGUCUCCAUGUGUACCACACAUGAAUCUGCUUGCCUGAGAGGCCAGAAGAUGACAAGAAAUACCCUGGAACUACAGUUACAGGAAGUUGUGAGCUGCCAUGUUGUUUAUAGGAACCAAACUUAGGUCCUCUGGAAGAGCAGCAAGUUCUCUCAACCUCUGAGCCAUCUCUCCAGACAUUGACUCAUCUUUGUAUCAUGUAACCCAACAGUACUUUAUAGUUACUCAAAGACAUGGUUUUACCAUCAGAUCAUUAAAGGGUUUACAAUCUGAAA